CGGGAUGUAGCUCAGCCUGGUAGAGCGCCUGCUUUGGGAGCAGGAUGUCGCAGGUUCGAAUCCUGUCGUCCCGA
Molecule: transfer RNA, 74 nt
Filed under: Neoakkermansia glycaniphila
Lineage: Bacteria; Pseudomonadati; Verrucomicrobiota; Verrucomicrobiia; Verrucomicrobiales; Akkermansiaceae
Description: Akkermansia glycaniphila tRNA
Rfam family: tRNA
About the family: Transfer RNA (tRNA) molecules are approximately 80 nucleotides in length.
Source: Rfam by way of RNAcentral